This 440-nucleotide ribosomal RNA is filed under the name uncultured bacterium. RNAcentral describes it as "partial 16S ribosomal RNA". It matches the Rfam family "Bacterial small subunit ribosomal RNA", at positions 338 to 795 of the family's 1533-position model. The record is from RNAcentral.
ACUACGGGUGGCAGCAGUGGGGAAUAUUGCACAAUGGGGGAAACCCUGAUGCAGCGACGCCGCGUGAGUGAAGAAGUAUUUCGGUACGUAAAGCUCUAUCAGCAGGGAAGAAAAUGACGGUACCUGACUAAGAAGCCCCGGCUCACUACGUGCCAGCAGCCGCGGGAAUACGGAGGGGGCAAGCGUUAUCCGGAUUUACUGGGUGUAAAGGGGGCGUAGACGGCAGCGCAAGUCUGGAGUGAAAUCCCAGGGCUUAACCAUGGAACUGCUGUGGACAAUGUGCAGCUGGAGUGCAGGAGAGGUAAGCGGAAUUCCGAGUGUAGCGGUGAAAUGCGUAGAUAUUAGGAGGAACACCAGUGGCGAAGGCGGCUUACUGGACUGUAACUGACGUUGAGGCUCGAAAGCGUGGGGAGCAAACAGGAUUAGAUACCCCUGUAGUC